UUGACUUUUAUGGAAGCAGCGCUUUUUAUAAUCCAAUUGAUUCGAAGCCCCAUAAAAAGCGAGAAUCGUCCCCAUCCAUCUGCUGUUUCGCACCACCAGCCACCAAAACCGAAAGUCGCUGCCUUCAAUUUUCUCUCUUUAAAAAAACCCCCAAACCAGAGAGAAACUCAAACCCCACCCACCCACAAACAACGCCAUGUCUGGAGGCAUAGCUCGUGGUCGUCUUGCCGAGGAGCGGAAGGCCUGGCGGAAGAACCACCCUCAUGGUUUUGUUGCGAAGCCAGAGACUUUAUCUGAUGGGACGGUGAAUUUGAUGGUGUGGCAUUGCACGAUUCCUGGCAAGACCGGUGUAAGCCCUCAAACUUAUUGCGACUUUGAAUUUUACUGUUUUUAUGUUCUUUUUAUUUUUCUGGUGAAUUGUUUGGAUUUCUUAGUUCCAAUAGAGUAUUGGGUAAAGGGAGUUACUCCAUUUAAGAUGGGUUUUUCUCAUUAUUGAUCCCAGGUUACUAAUUUUCUUAUGGAGAAGACAGGAAAACUUGCCAUAACACAAUCAAGGAAAAAUUCUAGUGCAAAGUACCUUUUCUUAAUUGACCAAAUGACUGAAAAAGUUUUUUUUUUAUUGCAGAAAGCUUCUCCUAGAACGCCUUAAGUUAUUCACUAUACUUACCUAUUUGUUGUUUAUUUUGCCGCAUAGUUUGGUACAGUUGUCUAUCAGUACCAUUGAUGAGGUGAAUCCAUGUUUGAAUGUGUGGUUUCAAUGCAUAGUAUACUAAACUCUGACAAAAGAAGAGCGUUGCUAUAUUUAUUGUUGAGAAUACAAGUGUGCAACAUGAUGUGUUAGUGUUACUUGCAUGAUUCAGAUGAGAUUUAGUUGGAUUGAGCACUUUCAUCAAUUAUGGGUUCAUGGAUUGUAAUGAAAGGUUGAAUGAGUUAUCUUUUUAUAACUCUAU
Molecule: non-coding RNA, 950 nt
Organism: Prunus avium (sweet cherry)
Lineage: Eukaryota; Viridiplantae; Streptophyta; Magnoliopsida; Rosales; Rosaceae
Source: RefSeq, a predicted model, not a curated record